Non-coding RNA from Paramuricea clavata, 1001 nucleotides. Lineage: Eukaryota; Metazoa; Cnidaria; Anthozoa; Malacalcyonacea; Plexauridae. The record is from the annotation of a GenBank genome assembly.
CAAGAAACAUGGCUGCUCGAAGGAGCCUAAAUUUGUAUUUAGACUUGUCGUUUUCGACUAUAAAUAUAACCUAAUGGCGAUAAGCAAGACUCAUAAAAAGGCAAAGUUUUAAACGAUUUUGGAACCGGUUUGGCGCAGAAUAACCUGGGAUAUGUUAAGCUAUACUGACAGUUUGAACAUCGCUAAAUACAUCGCCAAGUCCGCAGUUUACAUCGCGCGAAAGAAUGUUGGUCUAUUCGGCGGAGUUUUACCUCAUGUAUGGCAAGAUUACUAUAGAUUACACUAUCAAAUACUUCGAAUUUCUAGUGAAAAUACACCGAUCACGGGAACCACUUAGACAUGUAGAAAUGCUAGCGAUUUUGGUUUACAAAUACUGCUUGUUCGUGCUGUUGUUAUUAUCGAAGUCCGCAACCAUGAGAUAUCUAAACAAAGUAGGUUAAAAUUUGACAUUUUUGUAAAUCCCUGUAUAGUUUAUAGUAAUAUUUAGUCGCCAUAUUGGGACAAUGUGCGCAUGUCCGUCUCCAUCUUGUCCCAUAUUUCUGCUAAUGUGCUAAUGAUCAAUUAACCAAUGAAAUAUCUUCAGUUGUCAUAUAUUAUUAAAAUAAAGGACUGUCCAAUCAGAGGCCUUUCCCCAAAUCUGGGGAAUAUCCGACAUCCGACUCACAGACGUUCUCUCCUGCGCUUCGUCGAGAAUAACAUCUGCACACAGGCUAAUAAAGUAGAGCUAAUACAACUCGUCGCGCAAACUGGAGUGGUAUGAAUGCUUCCCAAUACGCGUUAGAAUAACUAUAGAGGUCGGCAAGUGAUAAACGAAACAUGGGAAGCGUGCAAUCAACGAUUGUCAUUCCUAUAUAUUCAUACAUAAUUAGCACAAAAUUUGGUGGCCAUAUUAACAGCAAAUUCAGUCGCGCAUGCGUAAUACCCAUGUCCAAAAUUUCUGGCCAUGAUGUAUAAACAGAAAAAAAUAUCACAGUUUCAUAGCCUUCAAAAAAACACGUCCA